AGUUGGUUUUAGAUUUUGAAAGUUGGUUAGUCAGUUAGAGAACGCCGAUCGUAAAGAUAGUCACAUUGACUCACAGCGGAGCUCAUGCUGAUGACUUCACGCAGAAGAUGACGGGAACAGGAUUCAUGCGCAAAAUUCGGACCGAACGAGCAUCCUAAGAUCUCCUAACCAACCUCAUACAGUCUCAGUGCUCAUGUAUUCCUCCAUCAUUCACCACAGUGCCUCGCUGGCGUGCACAGACUGUGGCUCUUUCAAGUACUUAGACCCCCUAGUUUUGCCCGAAAGUCCACGAAACCACAGGGGGCGCGGAUAAUUAACGUUGUUUUGCUAACUCAAGGGAGGAAGGCAAUGAGUUUUUUGGGAGGGUUACGUUGGAGAAAUUGCAAGUAAAAGGAGUGCCCAUUCCAUAAAAGCCCAGUACAGGGAGUGUGUACUAGUACAAAAUUACCAGCAGGACAGGAAUACAAAAACGUCUUCGGUUUAACACAAUUCAGUUUUAUUCGUGUUCCAGUGCAUCAAUCUCUGUACUGGAUUAUUAUCCAGAAAAACGAUUCUGAGACUAUUAUGUUUUAAUCUUGAUAAAAUUCCAUAACCAGUUGUUGCAUUCGUCAUGACGACGAUCACUUAACGGUCUUGAUAUUGUGAUUCAAGGCUGCACAUGUGAAGGCGUGAUAGUAAGUUGUCUUCAUGACAUCAUGUGCACAAGCCAGCAUUGCUUGCAUGUUAAGUAUCAACCCAGGGCAGGGCUCAACUUGCCGUGUUGACUCUUGGAGGGCGUCCUUCAAUGUAACCUUCUGCUUUGCCCACACAAAGGUUCAGUUACAAGCAAAAGACUAUA
Molecule: long non-coding RNA, 838 nt
Organism: Branchiostoma floridae (Florida lancelet)
Lineage: Eukaryota; Metazoa; Chordata; Leptocardii; Amphioxiformes; Branchiostomatidae
Exons: 2
Source: RefSeq, a predicted model, not a curated record